UCAAUAAAAUAGUGCUUAUUUAUCCUAGAUGUAAGGUUUAUUUUUCACAUGAUUUAUAGAUUGUUAAUUGUCUAUUCACUCUAUUGCAGUGGAAAUUUUGUUAUAUGCUCCACCUCGCCCACUUAUAGACUUCUCAGUUGCAUUUUUGUGGUUGAUGUCUGUUGGAACAAUUGUAUGUGCUUCACUGUGGUCUGAUCUAACUUCUCCUGAGCAGUAUGAUGAACGCUAUAAGGAAUUAUGUCUCAAGGUUUUUCCUUGCAACCCUAUACCUCCCUUAAAGUUUAUAUGCACUUAAAUGUUUCCUUCAGAUGUCUUAACUUAAGAAAGCACUUUUCUUGGUGUGACGACAUGCUUAUGUAGAGCAAAAUCACCUAAUUGAACAAUGCUGAAAUGGGAAAUGUAAAAUUACAGACUUACCUUGGCAUGUCUACUAGUCUACUUCUUUCUUUUAUCUUUGAUUUCCUUGCUGUAGCCACUGACCGUUCACUUAACUAUUACAAUGGAGUGAACAAGCACGCGUUCUUUCUUUCGUUUUGUUUACUUAAUGAUUCAAUACAGAUUUUUUUGAGCAUAUUUUUAACACCUUCAAAUUUAUUAAUUUACUUAUUUGUACAUAUAAUUUUGUUUCCUUCUGCUAGGAAUCUUCAAAUGCUGAAACAGCUAAAUAUGAUUCUGAUAAAGAAAUUGUCAACAUCGAUACAAGGGGUGCUAUCGUUUUUGUAUUAUCAGGAUCUGUUUUUCUUCUGCUAUUGUACUUCUUCAUGUCAUCCUGGUUUAUCUGGGUGCUCAUUGUACUUUUCUGCAUCGCUGGUAUUGAGGUAAUGUGCUUAUUUUCACGGCUAAGCCCUACUCUUGCUAAUUGAUAGAAGAUCAUAUUUCAUAGUUUGCUUGAAGAUGGCUUUGGUUCCCGAUCAUUGUCUGUGAUUAAAUAUACUGUUUAUGUAUAAACUGAAACUUUGUAUUAAUAGUAUGCAUGUGCUACUCAAUUAUACUAUUAGCCUUGUUGAAUUUCAUACACAACUUAUACAAUUGUAAGGGUUGACAGAAAGAGAGUGAAAGUCUGUCAGAAAAAGGCUUUACAAGUACUAAUAUGUAUUUGAUCAGUAUAAAAAAAAUUAGCACAUACAUUAAAAGCUUUAAAUUUCUUCUCUGCACCAAAUAAAGUUUGCUGUCAUUUUCAGGGCAUGCACAACUGUAUUGUAAGCCUCACUUUAAGGUACAGACAAAUGGAUGUACUUUUUCUCUCUCCCUAUCCAAUUAAGGAAAUCAGUGUUCUUUUUUUUCAUCCCAUGUGUUCUUUAAUUCCUCUUUCUCUAUUUCUUUUCCUAAUGUGAGCAGAAAAAGUCAAAACUGGAGUCAGAAGGUAGUGAAUGUACCUUGGUCUGGGGAGGUUUCUAUUUACUCGCUGGUAGUGUUAUUAUUCUGUGUGGCAUUUGCGAUUUUCUGGGCUGCUACGCGACAGGAAUCAUAUUCAUGGGUUGGCCAAGAUACUCUUGUAAGUUUUACAUUCUAGUACCUUCAAAAUGGAUCUUUAUAUUAUCAUUGCAAAUUCUAAACUCAAACUUUAAGACACCAAGGUAAGCAAUGAAAAGUAUUGUUCAAGUGUCUAGGCUUUUGAAAUCUAGUCUCGUUUCUUGUAAGUUGUCCAUGAAUAAUGACUGCAUUGGAAGUUGAGAGGGAGCCAGGUGCUAUGUAUGAGGAACUAGGCAAGUAACAAUUGUUUUCUUGUCUAGGUCUUCCUAGUGUUUAAAUGUGCAUGUUUUCUAUUACAAUCUCAAUUUUUUAACUGAAUUUGCUUUUACACAUGCAUACAUGUGCAGAUACGCGAUUUACAUACAUACUGGCACAUACACAUGUAUGCACUAUGUAGAUAGAUCUUGGUGGAAAAUAUUCUUUCUAAUUUAGGAACAAUGAAGUAGUUACUUCACAAGAUACCCUAGACUAAUCGAACGAUUUCAAGUAGUCGUAGAAUAGAACGAAGAUCGUAGAAUGUUGUAGGCUAUGCUUGCUCGAACAUCCAACUCAAAACCUGCUCGCUUGAAUUCCAGUUCCCUACUGAACAACAAAAACAAAGUAAUGCUACUUUCGAGAUAAAUCAUUUUGACUAGGAAUUGUAGUGUAAUACAUAGGCUUAGCAUUCCUUUUACUUACUGAAUUCCUACCUUUUUUAUUUCGCAAAAGAGUUAUAUGUUAUCUUUGAUUGUUCUCUUUUGUAGUAACUACCACAGUAGGAUAGAGGAUGUGAUUAUUAUACUAUGACCACGGCCAUGAGAGGUCUCAGGACGACUCAUUCUUUGAACAUUGUUGAGUAUUUGAGUUGUUCUUUGUUCCUAAACCGUGACUAACUCCUCAAUUGACUGCACCUCUCUUGGUUCAUAAUCAUUUAUGGAAAUUACUUUCCUCUCCACCCUCCAUUUUCUUUCUUCUUAUUGCUCUUUUGAUUUUUUGUUGUUACUGUUCCUAUUCCUCCUACUAUAAACGUUGGUUAUAGGUCUAGCUCUUCUUAUUUGUGUUCUCAUUUUGCAGUUUUAUGGAUCCAUUGCUCUCUGUGUGCGUGGUGGUUGUGACUUCACAACCAAAGCUCAAUUUGCUCAAUCCGCAGGUGCUACUGCCAUAUUAGUCAUAAAUGACACAGAAGGUUACUUUUACUUCUUCACACUUCCAUUCCUUUUUAUUCAUUAUCUCAUAUCUAAUUAUGUUUUUUAUUUCUCUCAGAUCUCUUUGAGAUGGUCUGCUCCAAUGCCACUCACCCAAAUAUUUCAAUUCCAGUUGUCAUGAUACCAAACUCGGCUGGACAAGCUUUCAACAAAUCUCAAACCAAAGGUAAGGCCUUCAAUUAUUACAACUACUCUCUUCUCUCUGCUAAUCAUACUUACCUUUCCUCUAUUUAUUAAACAUUCUUGUUUAAGCUCAUUCCAAAUUUACGCCUUAAAUCUUCAUUUAUGAUACUGCAAUUCACCUUCUAAUUUUAUUUCUUUUUUUUUAUCAAAACAAUAAAACAUUGUUAUACACGUUGAGGAUGCAAAUAUGACCCCCCUUUGACAAUAGUAAGAUGUGUACCGAUUCGAUGCUGUUGAUUGACCUAUGUAACUGACCCCAUCCAAUGGGAUAAUUAUUCACAAUUACUAGGCCUAGUAUAUGGAAAGCUUAUGUCUACCACAAAGACGUAAGCUUAAAGAUCAAAACGCAUAUGGAAGAUAGUAAUAUCACAUAAUUGGUUGCAUUACCAUGUGUUAUUUUAAUGGGAAUAUGCUCCUCUUACUAGACACAUCAAUGCACGCACCCGUGCAUUCUCAUACAUCCUUCCAAUAAAGAAGAUUUGAAAGAAAAUUUUGACUCGUAUUAUCAAUAAAAUAGUGCUUAUUUAUCCUAGAUGUAAGGUUUAUUUUUCACAUGAUUUAUAGAUUGUUAAUUGUCUAUUCACUCUAUUGCAGUGGAAAUUUUGUUAUAUGCUCCACCUCGCCCACUUAUAGACUUCUCAGUUGCAUUUUUGUGGUUGAUGUCUGUUGGAACAAUUGUAUGUGCUUCACUGUGGUCUGAUCUAACUUCUCCUGAGCAGUAUGAUGAACGCUAUAAGGAAUUAUGUCUCAAG
Molecule: long non-coding RNA, 3592 nt
Filed under: Lupinus angustifolius (narrow-leaved blue lupine)
Lineage: Eukaryota; Viridiplantae; Streptophyta; Magnoliopsida; Fabales; Fabaceae
Description: long non-coding RNA (LANG_LNC000218)
Source: RNAcentral